UACAGAGGGUGCGAGCGUUGUUCGGAAUUAUUGGGCGUAAAGGGCGCGUAGGCGGUGCCACAAGUCACUUGUGAAAUCCCCGGGCUUAACUCGGGGCCUGCAGGCGAAACUGUGGUGCUGGAGUGUGGGAGAGGUGCGUGGAAUUCCCGGUGUAGCGGUGAAAUGCGUAGAGAUCGGAAGGAACACCAGUGGCGAAGGCGGCUACCUGGACAGAUACUGACACUGAGGCGCGAGAGCGUGGGGAGCAAACAGG
Molecule: ribosomal RNA, 253 nt
Filed under: uncultured prokaryote
Description: partial 16S ribosomal RNA
Rfam family: Bacterial small subunit ribosomal RNA
Source: RNAcentral